GUUAUUGAAUAUAAAGAAAAGACGAACAGCUCAGUAACUCUUAUUUUAUUUGAUGUAUUAGGAUUAUAACUAUGUUAAAUUAUAGAUAACAAUAAUACAAUAAGAAUAAGAUCUAUCAGUUAGUUGUUAAGGUAAUGGCUUAACAAGACUAUGACGGAUAACGGUAUUACUUUGUAAUAUUCCGGAGAAGGAGCCUGAGAGAUUGCUACUAAGUCUAAGGAUUGCAGCAGGGGCGAAACUUGACCUAUGAUAUGAUAUUGAGGCAGUUAUGAGUAGUAUUUUUAAUUAUUGUAGUAUUGUAAGUAUAUACUACAAGAUAAAUCGGAGGGCAAAUCGAGUGCCAGCAGCCGCGGUAAUACUUGUUCCGAUAGUGUGUAUGAUGAUUGAUGCAGUUAAAAAGUCUGUAGUUUAUGAUUAAUAAGCAUUGUGAGGUAUAUUGUAUGGUUAGGAGAGAGAUGAAAUGUGAUAACCCUAACUGGAUGAACAGAAGCGAAAGCUAUAUACUUAAAUGUAUUAUUAGAACAAGGACGUAAGCUAGAGGAUCGAAGAUGAUUAGAUACCAUUGUAGUUCUAGCAGUAAACUAUGUUAAAUCAUAGAUACAUUUUAAUAUGUAUUUAUGUAAAGAAAUUAAGAUUAUAUUGACUCUGGGGAUAGUAUGAUCGCAAGAUUGAAAAUUAAAGAAAUUGACGGAAGAAUACCACAAGGAGUGGAUUGUGCGG
This 720-nucleotide ribosomal RNA is filed under the name Nosema granulosis. RNAcentral describes it as "partial small subunit ribosomal RNA". It matches the Rfam family "Microsporidia small subunit ribosomal RNA", at positions 56 to 822 of the family's 1311-position model. The record is from RNAcentral. Lineage: Eukaryota; Fungi; Microsporidia; Nosematidae.